Molecule: non-coding RNA, 225 nt
Filed under: Poecilia formosa (Amazon molly)
Lineage: Eukaryota; Metazoa; Chordata; Actinopteri; Cyprinodontiformes; Poeciliidae
Description: Eukaryotic large subunit ribosomal RNA
Rfam family: Eukaryotic large subunit ribosomal RNA
Source: Rfam by way of RNAcentral
CUGGGAAAUCUGUAAUCUUUGAAAACCUAUAAAAUCUCCUUUGUAGAGAUUACCAUGAGGAUAACUGGGUGGCCAAGCGUUCAUAGCAAUGUCGCUUUUUGAUCCUUCGAUGUUGGCUCUUCCUAUCAUUGUGAAGCAGAAUUCACCAAGUGUUGGAUUGUUCAGCCACUAAUAUGGAAUGUGAGCUGGGAUUAGACUGUCGUGACACAGGUUAGUUUUACCCUA